UUACGGCCACAUCACGUUGAAACACCGGUUCUCGAUCACCGAAGUUAAGCAACAGCGAGACUGGUCAGUACUUCUAUGGAUGACCGCUUGGCAAAUACCAGGUGCUGUAA
Molecule: non-coding RNA, 110 nt
Organism: Acanthosepion pharaonis
Lineage: Eukaryota; Metazoa; Mollusca; Cephalopoda; Sepiida; Sepiidae
Source: the annotation of a GenBank genome assembly